RNAcentral lists this ribosomal RNA (432 nucleotides) under uncultured bacterium. RNAcentral describes it as "partial 16S ribosomal RNA". It matches the Rfam family "Bacterial small subunit ribosomal RNA", at positions 29 to 506 of the family's 1533-position model. The record is from RNAcentral.
AACGAACGCUGGCGGCAUGCCUAACACAUGCAAGUCGAACGAGACCUUCGGGUCUAGUGGCGCACGGGUGCGUAACGCGUGGGAACCUGCCCUUAGGUUCGGAAUAACUCCCCGAAAGGGGUGCUAAUACCGGAUAAUGUCUUCGGACCAAAGAUUUAUCGCCUUUGGAUGGGCCCGCGUUGGAUUAGCUAGUUGGUAGGGUAAAAGCCUACCAAGGCGACGAUCCAUAGCUGGUCUGAGAGGAUGAUCAGCCACACUGGGACUGAGACACGGCCCAGACUCCUACGGGAGGCAGCAGUGGGGAAUAUUGGACAAUGGGCGAAAGCCUGAUGCAGCAAUGCCGCGUGAGUGAUGAAGGACUUAGGGUUGUAAAGCUCUUUUACCCGGGAUGAUAAUGACAGUACCGGGAGAAUAAGCUCCGGCUAACUCCGU